Molecule: ribosomal RNA, 253 nt
Filed under: uncultured bacterium
Lineage: Bacteria
Description: partial 16S ribosomal RNA
Rfam family: Bacterial small subunit ribosomal RNA
Source: RNAcentral
UACGGGGGGGGCAAGCGUUGUUCGGAAUUACUGGGCGUAAAGGGCUCGUAGGCGGCCAACUAAGUCAGACGUGAAAUCCCUCGGCUUAACCGGGGAACUGCGUCUGAUACUGGAUGGCUUGAAUCCGGGAGAGGGAUGCGGAAUUCCAGGUGUAGCGGUGAAAUGCGUAGAUAUCUGGAGGAACACCGGUGGCGAAGGCGGCAUCCUGGACCGGCAUUGACGCUGAGGAGCGAAAGCCAGGGGAGCAAACAGG